This 493-nucleotide ribosomal RNA is filed under the name uncultured bacterium. Its description in RNAcentral is "partial 16S ribosomal RNA". It matches the Rfam family "Bacterial small subunit ribosomal RNA", at positions 29 to 507 of the family's 1533-position model. The record is from RNAcentral.
AACGAACGCUGGCGGCGCGUCUUAAACAUGCAAGUCGAACGGCAGGAAGGGGCUUGCCCCUUCUGAGAGUGGCGGACUGGUGAGUAACACGUGGGUGACAUACCUUUUAGUUGGGGAUAGCUAUUAGAAAUAGUAGGUAAUACCGAAUGUGACCGUACCUGUUAGAGGGGUACGAGGAAAGGAGCUAAGGCUUCGCUAAAAGAAUGGCUCGCGGCCCAUUAUGCUCGUUGGUGAGGUAACGGCCCACCAAGGCGAUGAUGGGUAUCCGGCCUGAGAGGGUGAACGGACACAUUGGGACUGAGAUACGGCCCAGACUUCUACGGGAGGCAGCAGUUAAGAAUAUUCCGCAAUGGACGAAAGUCUGACGGAGCGACGCCGCGUGGAUGAAGAAGGCCGAAAGGUUGUAAAAUCCUUUUAAGCCUGAUGAAUAAGCACAGUAGGGAAUGAUUGUGCGGUGACCGUAGGGCUUGAAUAAGCACCGGCUAAGUACGUG